CCCAAGAGAUCGGGAUAACACCUGGAAACAGAUGCUAAUACCGGAUAACAACAGAUGAUGCCUAUCAACUGUUUAAAAGAUGGUUCUGCUAUCACUCUUGGAUGGACCUGCGGUGCAUUAGCUAGUUGGUAGGGUAACGGCCUACCAAGGCGAUGAUGCAUAGCCGAGUUGAGAGACUGAUCGGCCACAUUGGGACUGAGACACGGCCCAAACUCCUACGCGGGAGGCAGCAGGC
This 235-nucleotide ribosomal RNA is filed under the name uncultured Lactobacillus sp. RNAcentral's name for it is "partial 16S ribosomal RNA". It matches the Rfam family "Bacterial small subunit ribosomal RNA", at positions 129 to 354 of the family's 1533-position model. The record is from RNAcentral. Lineage: Bacteria; Bacillati; Bacillota; Bacilli; Lactobacillales; Lactobacillaceae.